AUGAAUGCUGGGCUGGGCCACCUCAAAUGGCGUGAGCCGCAUACGGGGAGACCCGCUCGUACGGUUUUCAGGGGGAUCCGGCCGGCCGGCACCCACCCGACUAGAGGGACUGAGAAACUAAUCGAGUACAAAACUUAUCUUCAAGCUCUACCUUAUUUUGAUCGUUUAGAGGCGAUCGCGGAGUCACUGAAUGAAGUCCUCCCUCUCUUUCUUUUGGAGAAACGAGUGAUACGCAGGCGCAAGAUCUGUCAGCAAGUGCGACUUCCCAGUGCAUAUGCAAGCGCCGCGACGCCCGCCCAUCAACCCGUUCUGUCCGCUGCCUGGUCAUGGCGCUUCCCGCCCUGGCUGCUCGCUCGCUCGGUCACCCUCUCCGCCGCCUUCAAACCAAGCAACACUCCCUCUUCCUACGACCCCCCUCAGAACCCGAGCUCAGGAACAGCAUCUUUGGCUACUGUCUGA
This 459-nucleotide ribosomal RNA is filed under the name Triticum aestivum (bread wheat). The record is from RNAcentral. Lineage: Eukaryota; Viridiplantae; Streptophyta; Magnoliopsida; Poales; Poaceae.